Long non-coding RNA from Polistes canadensis, 2480 nucleotides. RefSeq lists it as uncharacterized. NCBI's taxonomy places the organism in Eukaryota, Metazoa, Arthropoda, Insecta, Hymenoptera, Vespidae. The transcript is spliced from 2 exons. The record is from RefSeq and is a predicted model, not a curated record.
AUUCGUCGGUCGUCGUCGUCGGCGGCGGCGUUGCUGUUGCAACCAGCAUAAUUCUUUCUUCGAUUAAUUUUGUCCUAUUACCACCAUGAAAUUAUAAAUAUUAUGAUGACUAGAUAAAAUAAUAUUAACGCGUCCACGUUGUGUUGUUCUUAGAUUCCAUUGUUUGAUUAUGUCUCGAUAAAAUGGAAAGUCAAAAAAGCGGAAAUGAAUGAUGGGUAAUAUUUAGUAGCGGCAAUGACGUGGCCGGAAAUGACCGAAUCAUGACGUGGCCGUAAAUGAUCGAAUCAUGACGUGGCAAACACGUAGUAGCACGGGAAAACCAAUCGGAUGCUCGAAGAACGGAAAUCGAACGCGUUGUCCUCGUGAUGCUUGCUCGGCCGCCAUGACGCAAAGGAUACUGUGCUUGCUUUCCUUCUACAUGGCGACCUAGCCGACGGCUUUAUUUUCUCUCGACGAAUGCAAUUGCUGUUUCUCUCUCUCUUCUCUUUCAUACACACACAUACAGCAGCAGCAGGCAGACACAUAUAUACAUAUUUUCUGUCUCACUCUCUCGCUAAGAGCGUUCCUCUCCUCUUUCUCGAACGUGGGGCUGGCUUCUCCCGCGACGGUACACGGGUGUCCACCACCUCCAUCGUCUCUUCCUCUCCUCCUCUUCCUCUCUCACUCCCUUUUCCAUGUCGUUCUUUCGCGAUCGGAGUGGAAUGCGCUCUAUGAGAGGAGAGGGAGAUGGAGAGAGAGGGAGGAAAUAGGAAGAUGCUUGGUGAGAAGAGUCGCCCGAGACCCAUACACACACACACAUCAUACAUAGCGCAGGCAUAACACACGUGGAUAUAGAAAAAUAAGUAUAACAUGGCGAAGGGUAUAUACGUGGGCAAGGUAAGGUAAAACGAGACAAGGCAAGCAAGCAGACAAAUAAGCAGGUAAGCAAGUAGGUAGGCAAGGCAAGCCAAGCCAAGGUAAGACAAGGCAAGGCAAGGCAAGCAGGCAGGCAGGCAGGAAACAAGCCAGGGCUAUGCCAUCGGAGAGGAGCACGGGCAGGGCUGUUGUUUACACCCCCACCUCGUUGGGUUAGAGGCAGAGAUGCCACACGGAGGGGCCUCCGAGACCUCGGCGGGCACCCACCACCACGCAAUUUCCAACCCCACCAGCCUCUCAACCACUGUCCGCACCUCCGACCAACCCCACCAAAGCCUGCCCGAGCCAAGCCGUCAGCCACGACGAGGGCCCCGCGACGAUUUUAGUGUCUUGGGAUCUUCGAGAAAAACGUGACAAAAGGUGCAUUACGACGAACUAUUAUUAUAAGGAGUGUGAACGAGUGAGAGUGUGGCGAGGAGAACAACAAAGCGAGCUAACGAGUGAGUGAACGACGAACAACGAAAGAGGAAGGAAAAAAAAGAAAGCAUCCAAAAGAGAAACUGGGGAAAGAGAAACGCGCCGUGCUGAGGUUCAAUGGAGAAAAAAAAAAAGAAGAAGAUUCUUCUACUUCCUUUCCAUUCUUUCUUGUCCUACUUACCCCGCACGAAGAAGUAGUAGACAGAGAGAAAAAGAGAGAACGCGGACGCCUGCCUUUGGCGAUGUUCUUCUCUUCCGAAACCCACCGACGUCGUCGUCGUCCUCGGUCACAACGAUCUAACAAUGUUCCCUUGUGUUAAUACAAAUUUAUCAAGACUGUUCGAACGAGCAGUUAAAGGCAGUUUGUUGCUGGCUUGAAAAUGAACGAACGAACGAACGUACGGGCGAGCGAACGACCGACCGAGCGAACGAACCGAGUGUACGUAUGUGUAUGCACGUACGUACGUACGUACGUACGUCCGUUUGUUUGUCCGUCCGCACGUAUGCGCGUCUGUCUCUUCUCUCAGUCGUGUUCCGUUCUGUUCUCUCGAAUUCUCGCCUCCUUGCGUACUCAAUCUCCUCCUCAGCGCGUAAAACGUCGCCGUUGCGAGGUGUACUUUCUCAUUUCUACGCUAAGCUGCUUGCUCGUUCGUUUUUCCUCGUUCGUACCCAGCUAGUAGCGUCGUUUGUCGUUGUCGUUGUCGUCGCGGUAUUACUAUUACACUAUACUACCACUACCACCACUACUACUACUACACUACUACCGCCACCACACCACUGUUCUCAGCAACGUCCCCAGAGCACCGCCGUCGCCACCACCGUUCUCUCUCUCUAUUCCUUCUUCCUCCUACUGCUGCUGCUGCUGUUACUAUUAACUACUAUUCCUUUUUCGAUACUAGUGAUGCUACUGAUGGUAGUGGUGGUGCUGCUGUUGCUUCUCUCGUGACACGUCAUGCGAAACACGCGCGUUCGAACUACACUCGGAUUUGACGAAUUUGUGCGAUUUCUUCGAUCAAAUUUACAUGAAUAAAAAAGAAAGAGAAAGAGAGAGACAGACAAACGGAAAAAACCAAAAAAUAGAUUUCGAAACGAGGACGAUCACGCGACACGAUUAUUUGGAAAUAGAGAGAGAGAGAGAGAAAAAAAGA